CAGGAGGAGGAGAGACCCGAGGCAGCCGCCGGUCGGAGCGUCAGGUGAACUAAACUUCAGAACUCUCCUCUGCGAGAAGACGGUGAGCCAUCCCAGACCCUAGAAUUCACCUGCCACAAGGAUCGUCCUUCGCUCCAUUGAAGAUUCACGGUUUGCUCUUUUCUGGGUGGGUGGCACGAUUCCCCUUGUGGUGAUCAUCCUUGGGUUCUCAUGCUCUGGGGGUCCUCUAGAUGUCUGGGGGCUGGAUCUUCUCCAUGCCUGCUUCAUGUCCAGCAGGGCAGGGCUAUGGGUCCCUACACCUACCCCUACCUACUAUUAGAUACUUACAUGGAAAAACCUAAUGAAUACAAGCAUGCUUACACACAAAGGUGUUCACACAAGUGUUCACACAGGUGUACAAACAGGUACUCGCAGACAAACACUAUCUUGGUUGACUGCUGCCUCUAAACAUAUCAUGCAAUAUUUGUCCUGUAUGCUGCUCAUUAACAUUCAAUAUUUCUUAUUGACUGUAACUUAUGCUUAUGUUGGUUGUUGCUGUGGUUUCCCUACUGUGUUGUUUUCUUUUUGCUUGUUCUUUUUUCAGCAGGUGAUCAAACAGAUUUUCAGUCUGUUCUCCCUCUAUCCUUCUUCUCCUCUAUUUUUCUUUCUAUUUUUCUUUCUCUCUCCUUC
Molecule: long non-coding RNA, 669 nt
Organism: Oreochromis niloticus (Nile tilapia)
Lineage: Eukaryota; Metazoa; Chordata; Actinopteri; Cichliformes; Cichlidae
Exons: 3
Source: RefSeq, a predicted model, not a curated record